UACGAAGGGGGCUAGCGUUGCUCGGAAUCACUGGGCGUAAAGCGCACGUAGGCGGAUCUUUAAGUCAGGGGUGAAAUCCUGGAGCUCAACUCCAGAACUGCCUUUGAUACUGGGGAUCUCGAGUCCGGGAGAGGUGAGUGGAGCUGCGAGUGUAGAGGUGAAAUUCGUAGAUAUUCGCAAGAACACCAGUGGCGAAGGCGGCUCACUGGCCCGGUACUGACGCUGAGGUGCGAAAGCGUGGGGAGCAAACAGG
Molecule: ribosomal RNA, 253 nt
Filed under: uncultured bacterium
Lineage: Bacteria
Description: partial 16S ribosomal RNA
Rfam family: Bacterial small subunit ribosomal RNA
Source: RNAcentral